Molecule: ribosomal RNA, 253 nt
Filed under: uncultured bacterium
Lineage: Bacteria
Description: partial 16S ribosomal RNA
Rfam family: Bacterial small subunit ribosomal RNA
Source: RNAcentral
GACAGAGGGUGCAAACGUUGCUCGGAAUUACUGGGCGUAAAGCGCGUGUAGGUGGACUGGUGUGUCAGAUGUGAAAUCCCUGGGCUCAACCCAGGAACUGCACCUGAAACUACCAGCCUUGAGUGGUGGAGAGGGAAGUGGAAUUCCUGGUGUAGAGGUGAAAUUCGUAGAUAUCAGGAGGAACACCAGUGGCGAAGGCGGCUUCCUGGACACCAACUGACGCUGAGACGCGAAAGCGUGGGGAGCGAACCGG